CUCCCAUGGGUUAGUCGGUACCUAAGCCGAGGCCGAAAGGCGUAGGUGAUGGAAAGCAGGUUAAUAUUCCUGCACCACUAGGGAUGGCGUUGAAGUGAGCAGGGACGGAGAAGGGUAGGCCAAGCACCGUGUAGGAUCGGUGUUCAAGCCCGUAGGGAGUCUUUCCAGGACCCGAUAGGGACAAACGGAGAGACGCUAUCCCGAGAGGUGAUGAGGUUGGAGCUUCGGCUCCGGCAACUUGGUGAUCCCAGGCUUCCCAGAAAAGCUGCGCACAGAGCCCCUCUAGUGACCGUACCGCAAACCGACUCAGGUGGGCGGGAAGAAUAUUCCAAGGCGCGUGAGAGAACCGUUGUUAAGGAACUCGCAAACUGACACCGUAACUUCGGGAGAAGGUGUGCCCCAUAGUGUUAGAGGCUUCGCGCCUCGAGGCACUGCGGGGUCGCAGAGAAACGGGGGUUGCGACUGUUUACUAAAAACGCAGGACUCUGCGAAGACGUAAGUCGACGUAUAGGGUCUGAUGCCUGCCCGGUGCUGGAAGGUUAAGGGGACAAGUUAGCGCAAGCGAAGCUUCGAACCGAAGCCCCAGUAAACGGCGGCCGUAACUAUAACGGUCCUAAGGUAGCGAAAUUCCUUGUCGGGUAAUCCGACCUGCACGAAGGGCAUAACGACAUCCCCGCUGUCUCGACAACGGACUCAGCGAAAUUGUAUUGGGGGUGAAGAUACCCUCUACCCGCGGCAAGACGGAAAGACCCCAUGAACCUUUACUGCAACUUGGCAGUGAUUUCCGGGAUACUCUGCGUAGGAUAGGUGGGAGGCUGUGAAGCUGGGCUUCUGGGUUCAGCAGAGCCACCGUUGAAAUACCACCCUGGGUAUUCUGGGAAUCUAACCUGGACGAGUAUACCCUCGUCGGGGACACUGCCUGGUGGGCAGUUUGACUGGGGCGGUCGCCUCCCAAAAUGUAACGGAGGCGUGCGAAGGUCCCCUCAGGUCGAUUGGAAACCGACCGUAGAGUGCAAACGCACAAGGGGGCUUAACUGCGAGACCGACAGGUCGAGCAGGUGCGAAAGCAGGCGUUAGUGAUCCGGUGGUCCCGCAUGGAAGGGCCAUCGCUUAUCGGAUAAAAGGUACUCUGGGGAUAACAGGCUGAUCGCGCCUGAGAGUUCACAUCGGCGGCGCGGUUUGGCACCUCGAUGUCGGCCCAUCGCAUCCUGGGGCUGGAGCAGGUCCCAAGGGUUCGGCUGUUCGCCGAUUAAAGCGGUACGCGAGCUGGGUUUAAAACGUCGUGAGACAGUUUGGUCCCUAUCUGCCGUGGGCGUAGGAAACUUGAGAGGAGCUAUCCAUAGUACGAGAGGACCCGGAUGGACGCGCCUCUAGUGAUCCGGUUGUCCUGCCAAGGGCACCGCCGGGUAGCUAUGCGCGGAACAGAUAACCGCUGAAAGCAUCUAAGCGGGAAGCUGGCCUCGAGAUUAGGUUUCCCGGGCGCAAGCCCCUAAAGACCCCUUGUAGACUACAAGGUUGAUAGGCUGGGGGUGGAAGCACAGCGAUGUGCGGAGCUGACCAGUACUAAUCGGUCGUGCGGCUUGACCU
This 1587-nucleotide ribosomal RNA is filed under the name metagenome. Its description in RNAcentral is "bacterial LSU rRNA". It matches the Rfam family "Bacterial large subunit ribosomal RNA", at positions 1370 to 2925 of the family's 2925-position model. The record is from RNAcentral.